This 23-nucleotide non-coding RNA is filed under the name Arabidopsis thaliana (thale cress). The record is from RNAcentral. Lineage: Eukaryota; Viridiplantae; Streptophyta; Magnoliopsida; Brassicales; Brassicaceae.
ACGCAAAUGUGGUCUCGUUUGAC